GGAGAGGUGUCUGAGCGGUUGAAAGAGAUGGUCUUGAAAACCAUUAUACCCGAAAGGGUAUCGUGAGUUCGAAUCUCACCCUCUCCG
RNAcentral lists this transfer RNA (87 nucleotides) under Candidatus Nealsonbacteria bacterium CG_4_10_14_0_2_um_filter_38_17. RNAcentral describes it as "tRNA-Ser". It matches the Rfam family "tRNA". Rfam says of the family: Transfer RNA (tRNA) molecules are approximately 80 nucleotides in length. Their secondary structure includes four short double-helical elements and three loops (D, anti-codon, and T loops). Further hydrogen bonds mediate the characteristic L-shaped molecular structure. tRNAs have two regions of fundamental functional importance: the anti-codon, which is responsible for specific mRNA codon recognition, and the 3' end, to which the tRNAs corresponding amino acid is attached (by aminoacyl-tRNA synthetases). tRNAs cope with the degeneracy of the genetic code in two manners: having more than one tRNA (with a specific anti-codon) for a particular amino acid; and 'wobble' base-pairing, i.e. permitting non-standard base-pairing at the 3rd anti-codon position. The record is from RNAcentral. Lineage: Bacteria; Candidatus Nealsoniibacteriota. RNAcentral also lists the same sequence under 1 other name.